NNACUCUGGUUUCUCUUCAGAUCACAUAAUCUUUUGCCUUUUACUAAAGAUUUCUGGGGAGAGGAACAAUUUUGAGUUAGUAACCAAUUUUUUGAGGCCUUGUUUGGCAGGGCU
Molecule: small nuclear RNA, 114 nt
Organism: Tupaia belangeri (northern tree shrew)
Lineage: Eukaryota; Metazoa; Chordata; Mammalia; Scandentia; Tupaiidae
Gene: U5
Rfam family: U5 spliceosomal RNA
About the family: U5 RNA is a component of both types of known spliceosome. The precise function of this molecule is unknown, though it is known that the 5' loop is required for splice site selection and p220 binding, and that both the 3' stem-loop and the Sm site are important for Sm protein binding and cap methylation.
Source: Ensembl